AAAUUGAAGAGUUUGAUCAUGGCUCAGAUUGAACGCUGGCGGCAGGCCUAACACAUGCAAGUCGAACGGUAGCACAGAGAGCUUGCUCUCGGGUGACGAGUGGCGGACGGGUGAGUAAUGUCUGGGAAACUGCCUGAUGGAGGGGGAUAACUACUGGAAACGGUGGCUAAUACCGCAUAACGUCGCAAGACCAAAGAGGGGGACCUUCGGGCCUCUUGCCAUCAGAUGUGCCCAGAUGGGAUUAGCUUGUUGGUGAGGUAACGGCUCACCAAGGCGACGAUCCCUAGCUGGUCUGAGAGGAUGACCAGCCACACUGGAACUGAGACACGGUCCAGACUCCUACGGGAGGCAGCAGU
This 356-nucleotide ribosomal RNA is filed under the name Salmonella enterica. RNAcentral describes it as "bacterial SSU rRNA". It matches the Rfam family "Bacterial small subunit ribosomal RNA", at positions 1 to 355 of the family's 1533-position model. Lineage: Bacteria; Pseudomonadati; Pseudomonadota; Gammaproteobacteria; Enterobacterales; Enterobacteriaceae. The record is from RNAcentral. RNAcentral also lists the same sequence under 1 other name.